RNAcentral lists this ribosomal RNA (112 nucleotides) under Escherichia coli. The record is from RNAcentral. Lineage: Bacteria; Pseudomonadati; Pseudomonadota; Gammaproteobacteria; Enterobacterales; Enterobacteriaceae. RNAcentral also lists the same sequence under 2 other names.
CGGCCUUAGCGCGGUGGUCCCACCUGACCCCAUGCCGAACUCAGAAGUGAAACGCCGUAGCGCCGAUGGUAGUGUGGGGUCUCCCCAUGCGAGAGUAGGGAACUGCCAGGCA